This is a long non-coding RNA of Gadus chalcogrammus (walleye pollock), 1515 nucleotides long. RefSeq lists it as uncharacterized. The transcript is spliced from 3 exons. NCBI's taxonomy places the organism in Eukaryota, Metazoa, Chordata, Actinopteri, Gadiformes, Gadidae. The record is from RefSeq and is a predicted model, not a curated record.
GAAUAUAAUUUCAAUGUAACCUUGAUUUAGCAAUACUUUUUAAUAUAUAUUGAAAUUAAUGCGUAGGUGCCACGACUUGAGUUGGGAAGGUCUAGUGCUCGUGGCCAGACCCUACAUUGUUCUAGAUGUUGGUCUGGAUUUACAGACUAGGUGCCUGCUUGAGGUGCAAGUUAAAAGAUGGGUGCUUUGCAUCAACGACAUGUCUUAGUUUUCAUAUUUAAGUUUUAUCACUCAAGUCUCAACCUUAAAAGAUGUAGGCCAAUUGCUGAAGGGGAAACCUUUAAAAUUACUUUCCCCAUAGAUUGCGACUGUUUCCACAUACUAGACAGAAAAUCAGCCAUAUAAUUUUUGUGUUUUAACAAUUAUUCUUGGGUUUUAUAGGUGAUGGCGUAAGUCGCUAUUUCCUCAGCUUUGCCAUGAACGCUUUACGGUCCGGAUUCAGAAUACAUUUUGGUAAUGCUGAUGUGACAAUGCUCUUUGAGGGGCAAAAGGAUCACCUCAUCCCCUGCGCAUCACAGCCACUAUUGGACUCUGACCUAUUUAUGAUGGCAGGCAGAAUGGUGGGGCAUUCCUUCAUUCACGGUGGCCCAGGUUUGGCAGGCAUCAGUCCUGCUGUAGUCCAUAUGCUCCUAGGGGGGCAAUUGGAGACAGCAACAUUGGUCCUGGAGGAUUGCCCUGAUCUUGAUCAGAGGAACACUAUCCACUUGCUGGAAGGCAUUAAUGAGCUAUCUGAGGACCAGAAGGCUGAUGUCAAUAGCCUGACAGACAUGUGGGAGCUGCCACGACUGACUGAUAAGAACAGAAGAUAUCUUCAUCAGCAGCUUUUGCAGCAUGCGGUAAUGGAAGACUUUGUUGAAAUUGAUACAAUUUAACAUACAGUAACUCAAUACUUGGCUGUUUCUGAAUCUGUCUUUUUAUAUGAAUUUAUUUAAAAAAAGGAUAAAUAUGCUAAAUAUUUUGAUAAAAAAAUUAUCACAGAGAAAAAAGUUACAUUUCAUUCAAUUCAUAUCUUACCUUUGUGCAAAUAUUCAGUGCACCAAUCAAUGGACUGCUGUGUCUAGCUCAAACUUUUUGGGACGUCUAGGUACCCCCAUUGAAAGGGUGACGUAAGCCUUAGGUUCCCACUGAGCGUAUUGGUGCUGAUUGCAUGUAUUUAUUUUGAAAAGGCACUGCAGUCCGUGAAUUGUAACUUUGGGAACAGACAGGAGCCCAGGACAGCAUUCUAAAACCACUGAUUGGGCAUGGUCCUUGGUAUUUGCCAUCCACAAUAGAGAAGAUAAUCCAACACUAAUUUAAGUCAUGCUCUCACCCUGUAUUUCCUUGUGGAUACAAGGACACAUUUCCAGAGGCGAAAGUGAGUUCUUGUCAGUGGUGGGGAAUUAAAGGAAUAUUUUUGAGACCCAAAUUACAGAACAAACACAGGCCAUUAUAUGAUUCCUGACAUCUGUUUUAAUUACAUUCGACUAAUGGUUUCAAAGGAGCUCAGAAGCCCAACAACAUGCCACAUUAGCUACA